This 430-nucleotide unclassified non-coding RNA is filed under the name soil metagenome. Its description in RNAcentral is "partial contains 5.8S ribosomal RNA, internal transcribed spacer 2, and large subunit ribosomal RNA". The stretch from base 1 to 120 matches the Rfam family "5.8S ribosomal RNA", at positions 35 to 154 of the family's 154-position model. The record is from RNAcentral.
GAUGAAGAACGUAGCGAAAUGCGAUACGUAAUGUGAAUUGCAGAAUUCAGUGAAUCAUCGAAUCUUUGAACGCAUAUUGCGCUCUCUGGUAUUCCGGAGAGCAUGCUUGUUUGAGUAUCAGUAAACACCUCAACUCCCUUUUCUUUUUUGAAAUUGGAGCUGGACUUGAGUGAUCCCAACGCUUUCUUCCAAGAAAGUGGCGGGUUGCUUGAAAUGCAGGUGCAGCUGAACUUUUCUCUGAGCUAUAAGCAUAUCUAUUUAGUCUGCCUAAAAAACAGAUUAUUACCUUUGCUGCAGCUAACAUAAAGGAGACUAGUUCUUGUGCUGACUGAUGCAGCAUUCACAGAGACAGCUUCGGCUGACUUUGUAAACUCGAUCUCAAAUCAAGUAAGACUACCCGCUGAACUUAAGCAUAUCAAUAAGCGGAGGA